CCUACGGGAGGCAGCAGUGGGGAAUUUUGGACAAUGGGCGCAAGCCUGAUCCAGCAAUGCCGCGUGAGUGAAGAAGGCCUUCGGGUUGUAAAGCUCUUUUGUCAGGGAAGAAACGGUCUACUCUAAUACAGUGGGCUAAUGACGGUACCUGAAGAAUAAGCACCGGCUAACUACGUGCCAGCAGCCGCGGUAAUACGUAGGGUGCAAGCGUUAAUCGGAAUUACUGGGCGUAAAGCGUGCGCAGGCGGUUAUAUAAGUCAGAUGUGAAAUCCCCGGGCUCAACCUGGGAACUGCAUUUGAGACUGUAUGGCUAGAGUGUGUCAGAGGGGGGUAGAAUUCCACGUGUAGCAGUGAAAUGCGUAGAUAUGUGGAGGAAUACCGAUGGCGAAGGCAGCCCCCUGGGAUAACACUGACGCUCAUGCACGAAAGCGUGGGGAGCAAACAGGAUUAGAUACCCUGGUAGUCCACGCCCUAAACGAUGUCUACUAGUUGUCGGGACUUAAUUGUCUUGGUAACGCAGCUAACGCGUGAAGUAGACCGCCUGGGGAGUACGGUCGCAAGNUUAAAACGCAAAGGAAUUGACGG
This 585-nucleotide ribosomal RNA is filed under the name uncultured bacterium. RNAcentral's name for it is "bacterial SSU rRNA". It matches the Rfam family "Bacterial small subunit ribosomal RNA", at positions 338 to 916 of the family's 1533-position model. The record is from RNAcentral.